GACGAACGCUGGCGGCGUGCCUAACACAUGCAAGUCGGACGAGAAAGGGGUUUCGGCCCUGAGUAAAGUGGCGCACGGGUGAGUAACACGUAGGUAACCUGCCUCCGAGGUUGGGAUAACCCGUCGAAAGGCGAGCUAAUACCGAAUAAGACCACGGUUUCUGCGGGAGUUGGGGUCAAAGGGUGGCCUCUACACGAAAGCCAUCGCUUGGAGAUGGGCCUGCGCACCAUUAGCUAGUUGGUAGGGUAACGGCCUACCAAGGCGAAGAUGGUUAGCUGGUCUGAGAGGAUGAUCAGCCACACUGGAACUGAGACACGGUCCAGACUCCUACGGGAGGCAGCAGUGGGGAAUAUUGCGCAAUGGGCGAAAGCCUGACGCAGCAACGCCGCGUGAGUGAUGAAGGCCUCCGGGUCGUAAAGCUCUGUCGGAGGGAACGAAAGACCUUGGGGUGAAUAGCCCCGAGGGUGACGGUACCCUCAAAGGAAGCACCGGCUAACUCUGUGCCAGCAGCCGCGGUAA
This 519-nucleotide ribosomal RNA is filed under the name uncultured bacterium. Its description in RNAcentral is "bacterial SSU rRNA". It matches the Rfam family "Bacterial small subunit ribosomal RNA", at positions 28 to 523 of the family's 1533-position model. The record is from RNAcentral.